GAUGAACGCUAGCUAUAGGCUUAACACAUGCAAGUCGAGGGGAAACGGCAUUAUGUGCUUGCACAUUUUGGACGUCGACCGGCGCACGGGUGAGUAUCGCGUAUCCAACCUGCCCUUUACUUGGGGAUACCCCGUUGAAAGACGGCCUAAUACCCGAUGUAAUUCAUUGAUGGCAUCAGAUAUGAAUAAAAGAUUUAUCGGUAAAGGAUGGGGAUGCGUCUGAUUAGCUUGUUGGUGAGGUAACGGCUCACCAAGGCGACGAUCAGUAGGGGUUCUGAGAGGAAGGUCCCCCAAAUUGGAACUGAGACACGGUCCAAACUCCUACGGGAGGCAGCAGUGAGGAAUAUUGGUCAAUGGGCGCAAGCCUGAACCAGCCAAGUAGCGUGCAGGAAGACGGCCCUAUGGGUUGUAAACUGCUUUUAUACGAGAAUAAUUUGAUGCACGUGUGCGUUAUUGCAUGUAUCGUAUGAAUAAGGACCGGCUAAUUCCGUG
RNAcentral lists this ribosomal RNA (492 nucleotides) under uncultured bacterium. Its description in RNAcentral is "partial 16S ribosomal RNA". It matches the Rfam family "Bacterial small subunit ribosomal RNA", at positions 28 to 507 of the family's 1533-position model. The record is from RNAcentral.